This 1145-nucleotide unclassified non-coding RNA is filed under the name Hevea brasiliensis (rubber tree). The record is from RNAcentral. Lineage: Eukaryota; Viridiplantae; Streptophyta; Magnoliopsida; Malpighiales; Euphorbiaceae.
UUCUUCUUCUUCUUCAUUUUUUUUAAUAUAUAUGGAUGGUGGUAAUUGUGGGUCUCGUUCAUCAAUGGAAAAGGUGAUGGGAGACUAUGGAGAUCAACCGCAUGUUUUAGCAGUGGAUGACAAUCUGAUAGACCGAAAACUCAUCGAAAAAUUGCUUAAGAACUCUUCUUGCAAAGGUACUGAUUCUCUCUUUCUCUGUCUUCAAAACACAGAUGGAUUAGAAAUGGUGCAUGACCAGUAUCAAAUUCGUCUGACUUGCUGCAGUCACCACAGCAGAGAAUGGGCUAAGAGCAUUGGAGUAUUUAGGCUUGGGAGAUGAUGGAAGAAACAACUUAGAUACCAAAGUAAGCAGCAUACUUCCAUAAGCUUGCACCUAAAAGUUGAGGAAAAUAUAACAGCGAUCCUUAAUAUUUGUUUUUACAGGGUUCCAAGGUGAACUUGAUCAUCACUGAUUAUUGUAUGCCAGGAAUGACAGGCUACGAGCUACUCAAGAAAAUCAAGGUAGUAUUAAUUGAAAUUUUUAUGAUCUUACCCUUAUGUAUUAUAGCCUGUAAUCCGUUCAUAAUUAUGUGUUACCCGAAAGCAGGAAUCAUCAAUCAUGAAGGAGGUUCCGGUUGUGAUUAUGUCAUCUGAGAACAUCCCAGCUCGUAUUAACAAGUAAUAUAUUUGCCAAUAAAGCCAUUUUUACUUUUGAAAUUUAGUAUUUUUCUCAUUUUUUUUAAAGGCUUGACUCUAUGUUCAAGCAGGUGCUUAGAGGAAGGAGCACAGAUGUUCAUGCUAAAGCCCCUCAAGCAAUCUGACGUGAAGAAAUUGAGGUCUAAGUUAAUGAACUGCAGAAGCUGAAACACAUUUUUUUGUAAAGGAUUUUUGAAACAACACCCACGAAGACUAAAACAAGGGUGCCAUUACUGGAGGCCACACACUUUGUCAAUUCUGUGACUGUGAUUGUGACUGUGUCUUUCUCAACCUACCUCUGUUAUUGGAUCAACUUGGUUUAGCUUGAAGCAAACAGCAUAUUUUGAUUUUGUUCAAAGCUCACUGACUUAUGCACUAACUAUUUAGAUGGAAAUUUAAUUUAAUUAAAUGACUUGUGCAUUAUGAUCAAGAAACUAUUGUUAGUAUUUUUUUUUUUUACUUUUUAUAUU